CGAAUGGCUGAAUCUCCUGACUUAGCAAGUGCUUACCACUGUAAGCUACGACAGGCAUAUGAUACGGACGACAAGUUGAAGAAUGCUGACGUUUUGAGACGAAGUGAGAACCAUCUAGUAAGACUUCUUGAUGAAGUGGAACUCAAACUUGGUGAAACAUCAUAUCUAGCUGGGGAAGAAUUCAGUCUAGCUGAUGUAAUGCUCAUUCCUCUUCUAGCUAGAAUAGAACUCUUGAACUUGGAAAACGAGUACAUAAACAGUCGUCCAAACAUAGCAG
This 277-nucleotide unclassified non-coding RNA is filed under the name Hevea brasiliensis (rubber tree). Lineage: Eukaryota; Viridiplantae; Streptophyta; Magnoliopsida; Malpighiales; Euphorbiaceae. The record is from RNAcentral.